UUCAUUUUUGAAUGUGCAACAUGUUUAUUUACGCUGUAUUUAUGGUAACUUUUUCUUUCGUCUGCACAUAAGCCUACUGGAACGCACCUAUAAAUUAACGUUCUUACAUCUGUGAUUGUAUCAUUUGACGGUCCUGACAAUUUAUUAUUUAUUACUUUCUUGAAGCUGAUGCUUCGUCCUCAUUGUAAUAAUUGGGUUAAUUUUGGUAUUUUACUUGGUGUUUGAUUGUUGACAUAAUACUGCUGCUGUGGUGUAGGGCUCCGUGGAUUUUGUUUUUUGCUUCUUACCAUUAACUUAGAAGUAAUUUGCAGUCAAAUGGCAGUGCAACAUCUGCGGGUCGUCUUUGUGAUUGUGUUAGUAUCUAAUUCUUAAAUAGUUGACCUAAUAGUUUACUGUAGUGUAGGACUCCGAGUACUUUGUUGUUUGCUGCUUACCAUUAACUUAGAACGAAUUUGCAGUCAAAUAGCAGUGCAAUAUCUGGGGAUUGUCUCUGUGAUUGUGUCAGUAUCUAAUUCUCAAAUAGUUGACUUAAUAGUCUACUGUAGUGUAGGACUCCCUGGACUUUGUUGUUUGCUGCUUACCAUUAACCUAGAACGAAUUUGCAGUCAAAUGGCAGUGCAAUAUCUGGGGAUCGUCUCUGUGAUUGUGUCAGCAUCUAAUUCUUAAAUAGUUGACUUAAUAGUCUACUGUGCUGUAGGACUCUCCGGACUUUGUUGUUUUCUGCUUAACCUAGAACGAAUUUGCAGUCAAAUGGCAGGGCAAUAUCUGGGAAUCAUCUAUGUGAUUGUGUGAGCAUUUAAUUCUUAAAUCGUUGACUUAAUUGUCUACUGUGUUGUAGGACUCCCUGGACUUUGUUGUUUGCUGCUUACCAUUAACCUAGAACGAAUAUGCAGUCAAAUGGUAGUGCAAAAUCUGGAGAUCCUCUCUAUGAUUGUGUCAGCAUCUAAUUCUUAAAUAGUUGACUUACUAGUCUACUGUAGCCUAGGACUACGAGGACCUUGUUGUUUGCUGCUUACCAUUAAUCUAGAACGAAUUUGCAGUCAAACGACAGUGCAAUAUCUGGGGAUCGUCUCUGUGAUUUUGUCAGCAUCUAAUUCUUAAGACUCCCUGGACUUUGUUGUGUGCUGCUUAUCGCUAACCUAACACGAAUUGGCAGUGAAUAGUGGUGGGAAUAAAGUCCAUUAUACUAUUUAUUGAUAUAAACUGAGAAAUAAGUUCAUAAUUACUUUAAGGUGCUAUGCAUGCUAUAGCUAUAGAAGAUGAAUUAAUAAUUCAUAAUAAGCGCCGUUCGGCGUUGUGAUCGGAUUACGGUAUUAAAUAACUGAUGGAUAGUAGAUGGAAACCUACGGACGUGGAAGGUUUUUUGUCUUGUAGCUGUUGGCGCCCCUUGUUUGUUGCGGUCUGGGAAUGCAGUACUCGGGAGUCAGUGAGUUGUGUCCGGUGUCAGGAGAUUAUGCCUUGUCCCAUACGGUUCAGCAGGGUUCAUGUAACAGGUAAGUGAUAAACGUUACGUUUUUGGGGUCUAGUAGAAUUAGAUGUAGGGGUCGUCUCGUCAGGUUAGGUCAGGUCAGGUAACGUCAGGGUAUUUUUGGUCUGGUCAGACCAAGUGGAAUCAGUUCAGGUCGGGUUGGAUUAGGUCAAGUCUUAUUGGGUCUGGUCGGAUUAAUUCGUGUUGCAUCGGAUUAGGUCAGGUCAGGUCGGGCCAGGUCAGAUCAGGUCCGGUCUAGUCGGGUCAUUUAAGGUCGACAUAGGUCAGGUCACGUCGGAUUAGGUAAGGUCGGGUCAGAUCAGGUUGGUUAAUUCCGUUCAGAUCGGGUCGGGUCAGGUCGCAUUGGGUCGGGUGAGAUCGGGUUACUCGUGCUACGUCGGGUUAGGCCAGGUCAGUUUGGGUUCGGUCAGGUUCUGUUCGGUCAGGAUAGGUAAAGUCUGGUAACUUUAAGUCGGGUCAGGUUAGGUCGUGUCAGUUUAGGUCAUGUAGGGUAAGGUCAGGUCGGGUCACUGUCGGGAGCGGUGAGGUUAAGUCGGGUCGGGUCGUUAGGACAGAUCGCGUUAGGUUAGGCCUGGCCUAUACAGGCGGGUCAGGUCAUAUAGGGACAGUUUAGGUCAGGUCGGGGCAGGUGAGGACGUAUUGGGACGGGUCAGGUCAGGUUAAUUCGUGUUGCGUUGUCAGGUCAAAUCGGGACACAAGGUCGUGUCAUUUCAGGCCAAGUCGACUUCGGCCAGUUCGCGUCAUAUCAAGUAGGGUCACUAGGUCGUACUAUUUCAGGCUCGGUCAGGUCAUGUCAAGUCAGGUCAGGUCAGGGCCGGUAAGGCUGCUUUGGGUCGAGUCAGGUUAGGUCAGGUCAAGUCGGGUCGGUUCAGGUCAGGCCGUGUUGGCUAGCCUCAGGUCUAUUAUUUCUGGUCCGGUCGAAUAGGUUACUGUUAGGUCGGGUCAAGUCAUUUGGGGUCAGUUCAGAUCAGAUCGGGAUGGAUCGAUUCCGAUUGCAUGGCGACGGGUUAGGUAA
Agrilus planipennis (emerald ash borer) is the source of this 2504-nucleotide long non-coding RNA. RefSeq lists it as uncharacterized. The record is from RefSeq and is a predicted model, not a curated record. The transcript is spliced from 9 exons. Lineage: Eukaryota; Metazoa; Arthropoda; Insecta; Coleoptera; Buprestidae.